GUUUGCUGCAAAGAGAGCUGGUAGCCACUAGAGGGGAGGAGACUGCCGGCUUUUCUGAGCGCUUCACGCUACAGCUAGAAGGUGCAGAAGCUGUCACAAGACUGGUUGCCCAACGAAAUGGUUUUUAAAAUUUUAUGAAGGUUGGACAAGCAUGAGAACUGGAACACCAGGGGAAAAAGGGUUUGAGAUGCUGACUACCUGCUGACUGCUGCCUUCAUCUGUCAGUCAGGAUGAGCCUACCCUGGUGAGAAGAUAUAAUGGAGAUAUUUCUGAGGAUGAUUUAUGGAGUCAACCAACAUCAUUCUAGAACAACUGAUACCUUUCCAGCAUAGGGCUACCCAGAUAGUUACUGUCUUAUGGUGUAUUAUAAUCUGCUAUCUUAAGGUAAUG
Molecule: long non-coding RNA, 390 nt
Organism: Oxyura jamaicensis (ruddy duck)
Lineage: Eukaryota; Metazoa; Chordata; Aves; Anseriformes; Anatidae
Exons: 4
Source: RefSeq, a predicted model, not a curated record